This 491-nucleotide ribosomal RNA is filed under the name Candida tropicalis. RNAcentral describes it as "eukaryotic LSU rRNA". It matches the Rfam family "Eukaryotic large subunit ribosomal RNA", at positions 157 to 665 of the family's 3401-position model. The record is from RNAcentral. Lineage: Eukaryota; Fungi; Ascomycota; Pichiomycetes; Serinales; Debaryomycetaceae.
GGUAUCUUUGGGUCUGGCUCUUGUCUAUGUUUCUUGGAACAGAACGUCACAGAGGGUGAGAAUCCCGUGCGAUGAGAUGAUCCAGGCCUAUGUAAAGUUCCUUCGAAGAGUCGAGUUGUUUGGGAAUGCAGCUCUAAGUGGGUGGUAAAUUCCAUCUAAAGCUAAAUAUUGGCGAGAGACCGAUAGCGAACAAGUACAGUGAUGGAAAGAUGAAAAGAACUUUGAAAAGAGAGUGAAAAAGUACGUGAAAUUGUUGAAAGGGAAGGGCUUGAGAUCAGACUUGGUAUUUUGUAUGUUACUUCUUCGGGGGUGGCCUCUACAGUUUAUCGGGCCAGCAUCAGUUUGGGCGGUAGGAGAAUUGCGUUGGAAUGUGGCACGGCUUCGGUUGUGUGUUAUAGCCUUCGUCGAUACUGCCAGCCUAGACUGAGGACUGCGGUUUAUACCUAGGAUGUUGGCAUAAUGAUCUUAAGUCGCCCGUCUUGAAACACGGA